RNAcentral lists this long non-coding RNA (1346 nucleotides) under Homo sapiens (human). RNAcentral's name for it is "non-protein coding lnc-SERHL2-1:2". The record is from RNAcentral. Lineage: Eukaryota; Metazoa; Chordata; Mammalia; Primates; Hominidae.
UGGAACUGCAGGAUACACUCCCCUCCUGCUACCUAGGCAGGCGUGAGGGUGUGACGGCCGCGCAUUCGCCAGACGAGAGCGAUGGCUGAGAACGCCGCACCAGGUCUGAUCUCAGAGCUGAAGCUGGCUGUGCCCUGGGGCCACAUCGCAGCCAAAGCCUGGGGCUCCCUGCAGGGCCCUCCAGUUCUCUGCCUGCACGGCUGGCUGGACAAUGCCAGCUCCUUCGACAGACUCAUCCCUCUUCUCCCGCAAGACUUUUAUUACGUUGCCAUGGAUUUCGGAGGUCAUGGGCUCUCGUCCCAUUACAGCCCAGGUGUCCCAUAUUACCUCCAGACUUUUGUGAGUGAGAUCCGAAGAGUUGUGGCAGCCUUGAAAUGGAAUCGAUUCUCCAUUCUGGGCCACAGCUUCGGUGGCGUCGUGGGCGGAAUGUUUUUCUGUACCUUCCCCGAGAUGGUGGAUAAACUUAUCUUGCUGGACACGCCGCUCUUUCUCCUGGAAUCAGAUGAAAUGGAGAACUUGCUGACCUACAAGCGGAGAGCCAUAGAGCACGUGCUGCAGGUAGAGGCCUCCCAGGAGCCCUCGCACGUGUUCAGCCUGAAGCAGCUGCUGCAGAGGCAGAGAACAGCAUUGACUUCGUCAGCAGGGAGCUGUGUGCGCAUUCCAUCAGGAAGCUGCAGGCCCAUGUCCUGUUGAUCAAAGCAGUCCACGGAUAUUUUGAUCCAAGAGAGAAUUACUCUGACAAGGAGUCCCUGUCGUUCAUGAUAGACACAAUGAAAUCCACCCUCAAAGAGGACUACUUCGGAUACAAUCACAGCAACCCUGGCCUCGGCCCUGCCCUGUCCCUGCCAUGCAACUUCACAACUCAGCUGGCCUAGACCCCUGGGAGGCCUCCAAGUCCCUAAGCGGUUCCAGUUUGUGGAAGUCCCAGGCAAUCACUGUGUCCACAUGAGCGAACCCCAGCACGUGGCCAGUAUCAUCAGCUCCUUCUUACAGUGCACACACACGCUCCCAGCCCAGCUGUAGCUCUGGGCCUGGAACUAUGAAGACCUAGUGCUCCCAGACUCAACACUGGGACUCUGAGUUCCUGAGCCCCACAACAAGGCCAGGGAUGGUGGGGACAGGCCUCACUAGUCUUGAGGCCCAGCCUAGGAUGGUAGUCAGGGGAAGGAGCGAGAUUCCAACUUCAACAUCUGUGACCUCAAGGGGGAGACAGAGUCUGGGUUCCAGGGCUGCUGUCUCCUGGCUAAUAAUCUCCAGCCAGCUGGAGGAAGGAAGGGCGGGCUGGGCCCACCUAGCCUUUCCCUGCUGCCCAACUGGAUGGAAAAUAAAAGGUUCUUGUAUUCUCA